Molecule: long non-coding RNA, 1049 nt
Filed under: Salmo trutta (river trout)
Lineage: Eukaryota; Metazoa; Chordata; Actinopteri; Salmoniformes; Salmonidae
Description: lncRNA (ENSSTUG00000045451.1)
Source: RNAcentral
UUUCAAUUCCAGUCAAUUCAGAAAGUUAACCCCUUGAUAAGCAUUGAAGAGAAUUGGAAUUUCAGUGUUCCUGAAUUGUCUGGAAUUGGGGUCAGUAUACUGAGGGAAAUGUAUUAUUAUGGCUGACUGUGUGAUGUCAUGUUUCAUAUUGCCUGUCAGUGCACAACAAGCAGCACCUUGGCCAAGCUUUCCAAACUCAUUACAUCUAUGAAGACCCUGGCAGUCAGAGCACUGAAGGAUAUUUCUGCUCAAGUCAAGAGCAACCCUGAUAGGGAGAGUAUGUCCAAGGAUGGAACGGUUCAUGAAUUCAACAGCAAUACAAUUCUAUUCCUGCAGCAGUUGCUGUCCUUUGCAGAUGCUGUUCGGUCCAUCCUUUAUCCUCAUGAUGUAGACAGUGACACAGUAACUAUGGAGGUGUCCAGUAGUGUUCAGGUGGACAUUCAACACGACACUGAUGCAGAUGAAUCAGAAGAACAGCCAUCAGACAGUCAGGAGUCCAAGGGGAAUGACAAUCAGAGAGCACUGAGUCCUUAUGUCUGUGAGUGUUCAACAUGGCUGUGUCUAAUAUCCAGAAUGAUACCUUUGACAAGGGCAAGACGCUGAACCGUUGGGUCUUAAUGCGUCCGCAUGCUUCAGUUCAGCUGGCGGCUAGCCGAAGUCGAGUGUGCUCGCAUACUCCCUUAAAAGACCUUCGCUUGAAAAACGAGAAAAAAGCGUCAAUAGUACUGUUUGUCCAUUUUGAGACACUGUAGCCAGUUUAAACUUCCUCAAAUAGUCAGAAUUAAAUCUAAAAUAACUAAAGAAUUCUGUCAUUAAUUUAGAAGUUUUUGCAGAGAUCUUAGUCGGGCAACUUUACAUCUAACUAAUAUGUUUGGUGCAGUGUUUCUCAAUGAAAAAAUGUGCAUAAAAACGAGUCGUCUCUCAUUGAACGCCAACAAAGACUUUACUGAAGAAUCGCUACUGUUUACCAAUCACCGACGAAGGGGCAUAGACUUCGGCUACCAACUUCGGCUUGCCUCAAGAAAAAAAUGUGUGCCCGAACAACUGAA